GGGCCGCACAAGCGAGGAACAUGUGGUUUAAUUCGAUGAUACGCGAGGAACCUUACCCGGGCUUGAAUUGCUAGCGACGGUUACUGGAGACAGUUUCCUUCCUUCGGGACGUUAGUGAAGGUGCUGCAUGGUUGUCGUCAGCUCGUGCCGUAAGGUGUCGGCUCAAGUGCCAUAACGAGCGCAACCCUUGCCGUUAGUUGCCAUCAGGUUAAGCUGGGCACUCUAUCGGGACUGCCAUCGUAAGAUGUGAGGAAGGUGGGGAUGACGUCAAAUCAGCACGGCCCUUACGUCCGGGGCUACACACGUGUUACAAUGGGGCAUACAGAAGGCCGGUCGCCCGCAAGAGCGAUCAAAUCUUAAAAGUGUCCCUCAGUUCGGAUUGGGGUCUGCAACCCGACCCCAUGAAGCUGGAUUCGCUAGUAAUCGCGCAUCAGCCAUGGCGCGGUGAAUACGUUCCCGGGCCUUGUACACACCGCCCGUCAAGCCAUGAAAGCCGGGGGCGCUUGAAGUCCGUGACCGCAAGGAUCGGCCUAGAGCGAAACUGGUAAUUGGGGCU
Molecule: ribosomal RNA, 556 nt
Filed under: uncultured rumen bacterium
Lineage: Bacteria
Description: bacterial SSU rRNA
Rfam family: Bacterial small subunit ribosomal RNA
Source: RNAcentral